RNAcentral lists this ribosomal RNA (491 nucleotides) under uncultured bacterium. RNAcentral's name for it is "partial 16S ribosomal RNA". It matches the Rfam family "Bacterial small subunit ribosomal RNA", at positions 29 to 507 of the family's 1533-position model. The record is from RNAcentral.
GUGAACGCUGGCGGUAGGCCUAACACAUGCAAGUCGAACGGCAGCACAGUAAGAGCUUGCUCUUACGGGUGGCGAGUGGCGGACGGGUGAGGAAUACAUCGGAAUCUACUUUUUCGUGGGGGAUAACGUAGGGAAACUUACGCUAAUACCGCAUACGACCUACGGGUGAAAGCAGGGGAUCUUCGGACCUUGCGCGAUUGAAUGAGCCGAUGUCGGAUUAGCUAGUUGGCGGGGUAAAGGCCCACCAAGGCGACGAUCCGUAGCUGGUCUGAGAGGAUGAUCAGCCACACUGGAACUGAGACACGGUCCAGACUCCUACGGGAGGCAGCAGUGGGGAAUAUUGGACAAAGGGCGCGAGCCUGAUCCAGCCAUACCGCGUGGGUGAAGAAGGCCUUCGGGUUGUAAAGCCCUUUUGUUGGGAAAGAAAAGCAGCAGGUUAAUACCCCGCUGUUCUGACGGUACCCAAAGAAUAAGCACCGGCUAACUUCGUG